GCCGGGUGCGGUGGUGAGUGCCUGUAGUCCCAGCUACCUGGUAGGUUGAGGUGGGAAGAUCGCUUGAGCCCAGGAAUUCUGGGCUGUAGUGUGUUAUGCCGAUCAGGUGUCCGCACUAAGUUCAGCAUCAAUAUGGUGACCUCCCAGGAGCCGGGGACCACCAGGUUGCCUAAGGAGGGGUGAACCACCCCAGGUCGGAAACGGAGCAGGUCAAAACUCCUGUGCUGAUCAGUAGUGAGAUCGUGCCUGUGAAUAGUCACUGCACUCCAGCCUGGGCAACAUAGCGAGACCCCGUCUCU
Molecule: signal recognition particle RNA, 299 nt
Filed under: Aotus nancymaae (Ma's night monkey)
Lineage: Eukaryota; Metazoa; Chordata; Mammalia; Primates; Aotidae
Description: Metazoan signal recognition particle RNA (ENSANAG00000008703.1)
Rfam family: Metazoan signal recognition particle RNA
About the family: The signal recognition particle (SRP) is a universally conserved ribonucleoprotein. It is involved in the co-translational targeting of proteins to membranes.
Source: RNAcentral